This 439-nucleotide ribosomal RNA is filed under the name uncultured Terrisporobacter sp. Its description in RNAcentral is "bacterial SSU rRNA". It matches the Rfam family "Bacterial small subunit ribosomal RNA", at positions 338 to 795 of the family's 1533-position model. The record is from RNAcentral. Lineage: Bacteria; Bacillati; Bacillota; Clostridia; Peptostreptococcales; Peptostreptococcaceae.
CCUACGGGGGGCAGCAGUGGGGAAUAUUGCACAAUGGGCGAAAGCCUGAUGCAGCAACGCCGCGUGAGUGAUGAAGGCCUUCGGGUCGUAAAACUCUGUCCUCAAGGAAGAUAAUGACGGUACUUGAGGAGGAAGCCCCGGCUAACUACGUGCCAGCAGCCGCGGUAAUACGUAGGGGGCUAGCGUUAUCCGGAUUUACUGGGCGUAAAGGGUGCGUAGGUGGUUUUUUAAGUCAGGAGUGAAAGGCUACGGCUCAACCGUAGUAAGCUCUUGAAACUGGGAAACUUGAGUGCAGGAGAGGAAAGUGGAAUUCCUAGUGUAGCGGUGAAAUGCGUAGAUAUUAGGAGGAACACCAGUAGCGAAGGCGGCUUUCUGGACUGUAACUGACACUGAGGCACGAAAGCGUGGGGAGCAAACAGGAUUAGAUACCCUGGUAGUC